CCUACGGGUGGCAGCAGUGGGGGAUAUUGCACAAUGGGGGAAACCCUGAUGCAGCGACGCCGCGUGAGUGAAGAAGUAUUUCGGUAUGUAAAGCUCUAUCAGCAGGGAAGAAAAUAACAGUACUUGACCAAGAAGCCCCGGCUAACUACGUGCCAGCAGCCGCGGCAAUACGUAGGGGGCAAGCGUUAUCCGGAUUUACUGGGGGUAAAGGGGGCGUAGACGGUUAUGUAAGUCUGGAGUGAAAGCCCGGGGCCCAACCCCGGGACUGCUUUGGAAACUGUGUAACUGGAGUGCAGGAGGGGCAGGCGGAAUUCCUGGUGUAGCGGUGAAAUGCGUAGAUAUCAGGAGGAACACCGGCGGCGAAGGCGGCCUGCUGGACUGAAACUGACGUUGAGGCUCGAAAGCGUGGGGAGCAAACAGGAUUAGAUACCCGGGUAGUC
Molecule: ribosomal RNA, 440 nt
Filed under: uncultured bacterium
Lineage: Bacteria
Description: partial 16S ribosomal RNA
Rfam family: Bacterial small subunit ribosomal RNA
Source: RNAcentral